UUAUGAGAUUAAAGGAACAAAUUAACAUAUUUAAAGGAGUGGUUCAGCCCAACUGUCAGCAUCUACAAUGUAAUCCAAUAACUAUAACAGUUAAUCGGGCUGACUACCUUACAAACCGUACUUAUGGUCUUGGAGCAGAUGUAACUGGACGAGACCCAACAGCUAGACUGAGAAUAGCUGUAAGGGAACGACUCUCUCUUGCCAUCAUAGAAAGGGAGAAACUCAAGGAGAAACUCAAGGAGAAAGCAGGAGAGAAAACAGGAGAAUCUCUUCGAAAUAAGGCAAUUGAAACAGGGUAUGGAGAUGUGAAUGCCUGGAUAGAAUGGGUCAGAUAUACUGUCCAGAGUCUCAACCAUAGCAAUUGCUAUGCUUGUGCCUCAGGAUGACCGAUUGCCCAGAUAGUGCCCUUCCCAUUGGGGUGGACCGAAGACUCCCAAGGGAUGCGAUGUAUGAUUGCAUUGUACCAAGAAAAGACUGCCUGGGGAAAUGAAGCCUGUAAGUCUCUCUCUUUGCUAUUCCCUUCCUUGCAUAAUAGCAAUAUCAGAGCUCCCCCUGUAUUCUCCACAGCCAUAGGUAACCAUACAGCCUGCCUCUCAUGGCAGGGUGUGAGUGCUACCCAGCAUCUGGGAGAAUUUGCCUUGUGCACGAAGACCUUGAAUGCUACCAAGGACUUGAUGGGAAAUUACUCAAGACUUGAGAUCCCCAGGGCAGAUCUCUGGUGGUACUGUGGAGGGAAGAUCUUACGGUCCACCCUACCAUCUAAUUGGGGAGGCACUUGUGCACUUGUUCAAUUAGCUAUACCCUUCACCCUGGCAUUUGAAAGAGAAACAUCACAAAUACCCAGAAGAAGUAAAAGAGGCUUAGGAAUAUCAUUUGAUGAUAGAGUAUACAUAGAUUCUAUUGGGGUACCUAGAGGAGUUCCGGAUGAACAUAAAGCUAGGAAUCAAAUUGCUGCAGGGUUUGAGUCACUGUUCUGGUGGGUAACAAUCAAUAAAAAUGUGGAUUGGAUUAAUUAUAUCUAUUAUAAUCAGCAGAGAUUCAUCAAUUAUACCAGGGAUGCAAUAAGAGGAAUCGCUGAACAACUAGAUGCCACCAGCAAAAUGGCUUGGGAAAACAGGAUAGCAUUAGAUAUGAUGCUCGCAGAGAAGGGUGGUGUAUGCGUGAUGCUGGGCAACCGUUGUUGUACUUUCAUCCCUAACAAUACAGCCCCGGAUGGCACAGUAACAAGAGCAUUGCAAGGGCUUACCACCCUUGCCAAUGAAUUAGCAGAAAA
Molecule: long non-coding RNA, 1273 nt
Organism: Oxyura jamaicensis (ruddy duck)
Lineage: Eukaryota; Metazoa; Chordata; Aves; Anseriformes; Anatidae
Exons: 2
Source: RefSeq, a predicted model, not a curated record